GAUGAACGCUGGCGGCGUGCCUAAUACAUGCAAGUCGAGCGAACGGACGAGAAGCUUGCUUUUCUGAUGUUAGCGGCGGACGGGUGAGUAACACGUGGAUAACCUACCUAUAAGACUGGGAUAACUUCGGGAAACCGGAGCUAAUACCGGAUAAUAUUUUGAACCGCAUGGUUCAAAAGUGAAAGACGGUCUUGCUGUCACUUAUAGAUGGAUCCGCGCUGCAUUAGCUAGUUGGUAAGGUAACGGCUUACCAAGGCAACGAUGCAUAGCCGACCUGAGAGGGUGAACGGUCAGCGAAGGACCUAGACACGGUGCAGACUCCUACGGGAGGCAGCAGUAGGGAAUCUUCCGCAAUGGGCGAAAGCCUGACGGAGCAACGCCGCGUGAGUGAUGAAGGUCUUCGGAUCGUAAAACUCUGUUAUUAGGGAAGAACAUAUGUGUAAGUAACUGUGCACAUCUUGACGGUACCUAAUCAGAAAGCCACGGCUAACUACGUG
RNAcentral lists this ribosomal RNA (497 nucleotides) under uncultured bacterium. RNAcentral describes it as "partial 16S ribosomal RNA". It matches the Rfam family "Bacterial small subunit ribosomal RNA", at positions 28 to 507 of the family's 1533-position model. The record is from RNAcentral.